CAUAAAGGAGGGGACAGAUUUUUAAAAGAAAAAACUUGGAACAAAAAAAACGAUAUUUAGUGCAAACUAAAAGAGUGAAAACGAGUGGGAAAACGCUUGGAAACAUCAUAAAAUAGCAAGCACUCACGAAUAUAUCGGAGUUCUCGAUCGGGUCUGCGGUUUUCCGUCAAGCUUCUUUUGUGGUUAGCGAUCUUCGACUUCUUGUUGCUUCUUCGUUCGAUUGAAACUGUUGCGACGUUCGAGUUGUAUUUGCGGAUAUUCCUUGUAUUAUUGAAAGAAAAAUAGGCGCUUUGCUUGAGAAAUCAACGGAUUCGAGGACAACAAACACUUCCCCAUACUAGUGGUGCUAUAAGUUUGGCUAGAAGAAGGGCUUUGAUGAAGAAAACAGGGAAAAGAAGUUGAUCGCGGCAAAGUGUGGACUGAGACUCAUAAGAGGAAAGAUGGGAGUUAUAUGAAUGAUCAAGCUAGGGAGAUUGGGGAAAGAAUUGAAGAAAUUCGAAGACAAAGACCAAAAACUCGGGCAGAAAUUUCCCCGAAUGACGUGCUUGGUAUAGUCUUCGGUCCAGAGCACCCUGGCCGUGUUCGAGGCUUAGGCAUGGGUGCAAUUCCAACUGUAUAAUUCAAGCAAACAUCAAGACGAGGCGGUGGUUCUUAUAUGGGCGCAGCUAGCACUAGUGCUCCACCUCCACAAUGGGUGCAAGAGAUGGCAAAUAUGAGAUCACAAUUAAAUGUGCUAACAAGCUUAUUUCAAAUGAAAAUAGGAAAUAUCCCCGAGGAGUUUGCUCACUUCGACUCCUUCACAGGUAAAUCUUCUCUUUAUUUUUUCUUGGUCUAUCAAGAAAAGUUCAAGGGGGUCUAGUGAUACUUUCUUCAGUUUUCACUGCAAGUUUAGCUAAUGCAUUGUCAUAUGAAGAGGCACUUCAGCAAUCAACUACUAGUACUUCAACUGCUGAUUUUGAUACAAAUGCCUUUGUUGAAAUUGUGACAAAUGAAACUUGUUUAACAAUAGCAUUACUCAGGAUAAUUGUUCUCUGAUGGUAUAUACUUCGUUGUAUCUUCUGAGUUGUUAGUUAGAAAUUGGUGUAUUUAGCACCAGGGUAAUGACAUUAUGUGCAAUAAGGGAGACCAAUUGUUCAUGUAUUAUCUAUUGUUCUGGUGAUUGUACUGUAUCUGUUUGGAAUAUAAUUGCUGCACUGCACUUAUGUCAAUGAAAUCAACAUCAAGCUCCCUAAAUAAGCUGCAUUGAGUCAUUUUAUACACAGGAAGUUAAGAUGAAAAGGAUACUUGUUCCUGGAUUUGAAUUAGUUAACAAUUUCAAGGAAACAUUUGCUUUUCAAGAGUAGCUAUAGGAGAUCAUAUAAUUGUUCUCUAGACAUCAGUGACCCUACUUGCUGGCAUCUCAUCUUGCACCAAUCUAUAUUUUUAGUCCUAAAAGUAUCCAUUAAACAGCUAUAUCAUUUUCGACGUUGAUGUUCUGUACCUCGAGAUUCUAAAACCUGGGCUAGUUUCAAAUUAUCUAGGAGAUCCAUCAAAUAAGAUUGGACAUCAAUGUGGCUGCCUUGUGCAAGUGUUCCGGAUAUAACACCGGAAUUGUGACUACUCUGUGAUGCUUUUAACUGUCUUUCCAAGCCUUAGAAUUCUUCCUUCACAGUUUUAGGCAUAACCAGAUCUAACUUCUUGUAGGAACCUAAACUUUUGGAUAGAAAUGUUGCUUAGAAAAGUGGAUUGAAGGUGUGUAUGAGUCUAAUAAGUUGUUUUAUUUCAUAAAUUACUUUCUUUGUGGAUAAGUAGAUAAUCCAUUUGUUAACUUGCUUGUAUUUCCUCAAUAUAUUGCAACAGUGUAACAAUUUCACUUUGAAUAUCUUUAUUACAUAUAUAUUUGCUUUUUCAACUUAUUUGCUUGAAUCCAUUGUCUGUGCUCAAGUAUAAGAGAAGAUGUAUUUGCUGAAAAUAUGUAAAAACAAUAUCAUACUGGCUAUAUAAAGAGAAUCCUUUAGUGGUUUGCUUCAAGAAUGUAUAACAUGGUAAGUUGCAGGUGGCUUCUUAGUAUAUUUGGUUGAUGGUCAACAUAGCAGUGAUUGUAUAUGAAGUAUAUUUUCCUGUUUCAAAUCAACCUAAUUUAACUGUAAGUUUGUAACAUAGGUUGGGAACUUUAUCCCAUUUCAAAUCAACCUAAAUUCCGCUGUUAUUUCCACUCUUCCAGCCCCUAUACUUUUUAUUGUAAUUGUACCGUAGCUAUCUUUUUCAUCUGUUUAUUAUCUUCAAUAUUACUUGGUUGAGCAAAAGUUCUAUUGAAUUUUUUGGUGUCUCAAGCCUCAAUGUUGUUUCAGCCACUUCUUCAAUUGUGACCUUAUAUUGUUUCGCCCAUUUCAAAGAAUUAGAAUCUUGGUUCCUCCAAUUUCAAUGUUAUGUUAUGCAUGCACCCAAUCUAGGAGAUGGCGUUGGAGAUGGCAUUGGAGAUGGCGUUCCGUCACCAACUAGGCUUAGAAGAUCCUUUGACGGAAGUAACUAUGAAAAUGGAGCAAACAACAAUUAGUAAUCAUUGUUAGGAUGAACUGUAUUUUUUUGUGUUGUAACGAUUGAGUAACUCUCUUACCUCUAUGCACCAUAAACUUGAAUC
This is a non-coding RNA of Nicotiana tabacum (common tobacco), 2620 nucleotides long. The record is from RefSeq and is a predicted model, not a curated record. NCBI's taxonomy places the organism in Eukaryota, Viridiplantae, Streptophyta, Magnoliopsida, Solanales, Solanaceae.